Bos taurus (domestic cattle) is the source of this 988-nucleotide long non-coding RNA. The record is from Ensembl. Lineage: Eukaryota; Metazoa; Chordata; Mammalia; Artiodactyla; Bovidae.
GCCUAGAUUAGCAUACGGGGCGGGGCUCGCUGCGCCCCGCCUUCUCUGCGGCUGCACCGCCCCGCGGGGGUUCGGUUCCGAGCGUCGCCUUCCUCUACGGUCUCCGUGUGGAGCCCGGCCGCGGGGUUCUAACGGUCCAGCCCGCAGGGACUCAGGACUGCGGUCUACCCCCGACCUCCUCACACCUUCCGGGGUGACCUGAGGGCGGAGCCUGAGUCCUGUGUCCCCGGUUGCACCGCCCCCAACCACCCCCGUCCCCUGUCGACCCCGUCUCCAGUCUCUUCCAAACCGGCCGGCCCCCGGCCUAGCAAUUCGAGAUUUCUCCCGUGGCUUCCGAGGAAAAGGAGGCCCCUACCCUGUAUCUGUGCCCUCCUUUGCAUCAGGGACCUAAACUGCUGUUUUGGAGAGGUUGUCUCUACCCCUCAGCUUGGUUGGUUUGAAACCCUGCACGACCUGUGAAGUCUUCCCCGGAUGGCUACAUCGUCUGGGGUCCCUUGUCCUGCCUGUACCCACAGCAAGCCCACGAAUCCAGGGCUUCCCUUGUUUCUGGAACAGCAGCCCUGAGGUUCUGUGGCUUCCCAGCUCUCAGCUGUCCCCCACCCCAGCGCCACCGCCCCUCAAAUGGGCCUUCACUUCUGCGCUGGGUCUCCUCACAGCCUCUCACCUGGCUGCCUGCCCAGUCUUCCCCACCCUAUCUCAGGAGAUCUUCCUAACUGGUUUCACCGUUACCCUCAUCCUGUGGACAAGGAAGCAGGUCUAGGAAGGUGAAGCACCUUGCCUGGUGUCAGCCAGCUAGCGAGGAGCGGAAUUGAAACUCAAGCCCCACUGGUUGAGUGUGGCCCGUGCAGCUCUCUACACCACCUGCUUCCUGCCUGAGAGGUCAGGGAGUGUCUGGCGACCAGUGACAGACUCAGGAAGGACCCAGGUCACCUUCCCCUUGGCCUCACAACUCCAGGCAGGCCCUGGGGGUUGGGGAAGGUCCAGGGAA